Molecule: long non-coding RNA, 1035 nt
Organism: Acinonyx jubatus (cheetah)
Lineage: Eukaryota; Metazoa; Chordata; Mammalia; Carnivora; Felidae
Exons: 7
Source: RefSeq, a predicted model, not a curated record
UGUGUCCUUACUGGUUUAACAUCAGUCCUCUGCAAAAAUGUUAUUUCGAUGAACGCAAGGCCGAGACUAUCUUGUUCACUGUCAUAUCAUCAGCCCCUAGCGAAAUGACUAAGUAUAUAGUAAGAGCUUAAGAAGUAUUUAAUGAAUUGAAUUGAAAUUGAAAUUCCGUAUUCCCUUUGUAAAAGGCAACUGUCCUUGAAAUGAGCAACACGCUAAACCAUGUUAUACUAAAACUAUUCUCAGGCAAAAUCCUAGAAGGCAAUGUUGGACAAGAAAGUUAUGUACAAAUGGUAUAAAGAGGCUUCAAACAAAUUGGCUUCUGUCUCCCUUCACUUCAGACCCUGAAUGCAACAUUACAAGUACUAAGCUCUACAAUACAGAAAUGCUGCUGAACUAGAAUAUGACCUGAGAAAGAUAGGAGCAAAGGAAAGAAAAUGUCCAGAAAAGAUGCGGUAUGGAUGUCUUCGGUUGAGAUUAACUGGAUAUGGUUUCUCAUUACAAAGUUAAAACGUUGUGAAGAGGCAAGAGUGAAUGACGGCAUUAUAUCACUAACCACCAGCCACCAUCUUUUGGAGUGAUGGUCAUUGCAUAGUCAGGAAGCAUCAGCAGGAUCUCUAUCUGCAACUCUACCCUACUUUGCUCCAGAAAUACAAGAACUAGUGAUUUCUCCUGGUGACUGUUCCACACGCUGACCAGAGAUAGUCUUCUUGCACAUAAGACCAGUUGCAGAUUGGCUGGCCUUCCCUUCCAUCUGCUAUUCUCCCCACCUUCCGACCUUUGUCUUGACUAUAAUCACAUGAUAUUUUCUGAGCCAAAAGUGUCCAACUGACCCAGAAUUCCUGAGCCACAACACAGAUUACAAGACCAAGCCUUGCCACUUGGCCACCACACCUGACUCUGUUUAAGAUUAAAGGGAAGGAAUGCGGAGGAGGCUUCAUCACUACAACCAGGAGUGAAAGGACAUGUGCAUAAAACCAAGCUGUGGACUAGUUCGCCAUCUCGUCACAAUACCAAUGAGCCAACUUUUAUAUUCGA